AUUGAACGCUGGCGGCAUGCCUUACACAUGCAAGUCGAACGGCAGCACGGACUUCGGUCUGGUGGCGAGUGGCGAACGGGUGAGUAAUACAUCGGAACGUGCCUAGUAGUGGGGGAUAACUACUCGAAAGAGUGGCUAAUACCGCAUGAGAUCUAUGGAUGAAAGCAGGGGACCUUAGGGCCUUGUGCUACUGGAGCGGCCGAUGGCAGAUUAGGUAGUUGGUGGGAUAAAAGCUUACCAAGCCGACGAUCUGUAGCUGGUCUGAGAGGACGAUCAGCCACACUGGGACUGAGACACGGCCCAGACUCCUACGGGAGGCAGCAGUGGGGAAUAUUGGACAAUGGGCGCAAGCCUGAUCCAGCCAUACCGCGUGGGUGAAGAAGG
This 384-nucleotide ribosomal RNA is filed under the name uncultured bacterium. RNAcentral describes it as "bacterial SSU rRNA". It matches the Rfam family "Bacterial small subunit ribosomal RNA", at positions 30 to 414 of the family's 1533-position model. The record is from RNAcentral.